Molecule: transfer-messenger RNA, 399 nt
Filed under: Muribaculaceae
Lineage: Bacteria; Pseudomonadati; Bacteroidota; Bacteroidia; Bacteroidales
Also listed under: 2 other names
Description: Limisoma gallistercoris Standard tmRNA
Rfam family: transfer-messenger RNA
About the family: Bacterial tmRNA, also known as 10Sa RNA or SsrA, is named for its dual tRNA and mRNA-like properties. Its role is to liberate the mRNA from a stalled ribosome.
Source: RNAcentral
GGGGAUGACCGGUUUUGACAGCGUGUAGAGGCGGUAUGUAAGCAUGCAGAGCGAUGAUGGCUAUGCUCUAUAAUCUCAGACAUCAAAAAUUUAACUGGCGAAAAUAACUACGCUCUCGCUGCCUAACCGAAGUACAGUAAGUUAGCUUUAUUCCUGCCACAGUGGCAGGAACGAGACAUCACCCGAUUGCCCUGCUCCGGGACGUUUCGACAAGGUGGUGCUGAUAAAUCCGGAGCUGGGAACGCCUGUUCUCCGGUGGCGUCCCGAGAUUUCAGGAGAUAAGCUUCAGGUUGGUAGUCCCGGUCCUGCCUGCUGCCGACAACCAAGUCGGGAAUAAGCAUGUAGAAAGCAUAUUGUUUCCGCGUUUGGACGAGAGUUCGAAUCUCUCCAUCUCCACCA